GAUGAACGCUGGCGGCGUGCUUAACACAUGCAAGUCGAGCGAGAAGUUUUGAAAAGAUUCUUCGGAUGAAAUUUAAAAUGGAAAGCGGCGGACGGGUGAGUAACGCGUAGGCAACCUGCCCCAUACAAAGGGAUAGCAUUUGGAAACGAAUAUUAAUACCUUAUGAAACUUAACUAGUGCAUGCUAGGUAGGUCAAAGAUUUAUCGGUAUGGGAUGGGCCUGCGUCUGAUUAGCUAGUUGGUGAGGUAACGGCUCACCAAGGCGACGAUCAGUAGCCGACCUGAGAGGGUGAACGGCCACAUUGGAACUGAGACACGGUCCAAACUCCUACGGGAGGCAGCAGUGGGGAAUAUUGCACAAUGGGGGAAACCCUGAUGCAGCAACGCCGCGUGAACGAUGAAGGCCUUUGGGUCGUAAAGUUCUGUUCUAGGUGAUGAAAACUGACAGUAACCUAGGAGAAAGCCCCGGCUAACUCCGUGCCAGCAGCCGCGGUAAUACGGAGGGGGCAAGCGUUAUCCGGAAUUAUUGGGCGUAAAGGGUACGUAGGUGGCCUUUUAAGCGUAGGGUAUAAGGCAAUGGCUCAACCAUUGUUCGCCCUAUGAACUGGAAGGCUUGAGUGCAGGAGAGGAAAGCGGAAUUCCUAGUGUAGCGGUGGAAUGCAUAGAUAUUAGGAGGAACAUCAGCGGCGAAGGCGGCUUUCUGGACUGCAACUGACACUGAGGUACGAAAGCGUGGGGAGCAAACAGG
This 747-nucleotide ribosomal RNA is filed under the name uncultured bacterium. RNAcentral's name for it is "bacterial SSU rRNA". It matches the Rfam family "Bacterial small subunit ribosomal RNA", at positions 28 to 776 of the family's 1533-position model. The record is from RNAcentral.